UACAGAGGUCUCGAGCGUUAGGCGGAAUCACUGGGCUUAAAGCGUGUGUAGGCGGACCGUUAAGUACCUUGUGAAAUCCCACGGCUUAACCGUGGAACUGCUUGGUAUACUGGCGGUCUUGAGCCAGCUAGGGGCUACCGGAACAAAUGGUGGAGCGGUGAAAUGCGUAGAUAUCAUUUGGAACGCCAAUGGUGAAAACAGGUAGCUGGGGCUGUGCUGACGCUGAGACACGAAAGCCAGGGGAGCAAACGGG
Molecule: ribosomal RNA, 253 nt
Filed under: uncultured bacterium
Lineage: Bacteria
Description: partial 16S ribosomal RNA
Rfam family: Bacterial small subunit ribosomal RNA
Source: RNAcentral